Long non-coding RNA from Mytilus californianus (California mussel), 1706 nucleotides. RefSeq lists it as uncharacterized. Lineage: Eukaryota; Metazoa; Mollusca; Bivalvia; Mytilida; Mytilidae. The transcript has 5 exons. The record is from RefSeq and is a predicted model, not a curated record.
UACUAAGGGAGAUAACAACGUUUUACUGAUGUAAAACUGGUUCCCUGUUUUAAUCUAAGGAUAUAUCGCCUAUAUAUAUGGGUCACGGAUUCAGUUCCGUUGUCGUCUGUUGAUAACGUGUGUAAACAAUUACAGCUGAUCGCACGGAUGAGAGGAAGGUUUAUCAAAAAGGUUAAAUUCAUGCGUUCGUUUAAAAUGAAGAAUAUGAAUAGCUUCAGCCUGAAAGUUCACACAGUCUUAAAUGAUUUUCAACUUAUAAGAUCAUAUGAUAUAAGUUUUUGUGAGUUGGAGAAAUUCGGCGUCCGAUCACAGUGACCUUUCGUUUGACGAAACCUGGAAAGAAGGUCGACGGCUAGCUCUGGUUCACAACCUAGCACAGAAUCUGUUCGUUAGGAUGUGUGACUGUCCCCUGCGGAUACUGUCGGCAAACGGAAAUACGACCUUGGAGGUGGAGGCAGUGGAGCAUUUUGUCCAUACCAUGCUACCUUGUAGUAGCUGCAGUGCAUGUAACCUGCAUAUCAUGCAUAUGUUACAGCGUAGAAACGAGGAAAAGAAAUGGGACUGGUGAAUUUGUUAUCAAUUCAAAAGCUGCACUUGGAAUGAUACAUGCAGGAAUUAGUGCCACACAUUUUAACAUUUUCUUAAUGGAUUGAAUGUACUUUCUGUGAAUCCAUCCACCAUACAGAAAAAGAAGAAUGAAACCGGAAAGAAAAUAUUUGCAGUUGCAAUAGAAUCCUGUAAAUUAAAUCAGGAGAUGAAACAGUUUUAAACAUGGUUAAUAUUAUGAGUAAUUGGAAGGUUGAAGCCAGUUUUGUUGCAGAAUGGCAAAUGUUUGGUACUGGUUGGAACUAUGAAAGUAAUACAGGUCUUAGGGUGGAUCAUCAUCCUUUUAAAGAACAACAGGCUAUUAGCAGCAGUUUUACAGAAAAAUGAAGGAUAUAAAUGGCUGUCAAUGAUAAAUAAAUUAAACUUUCAGGUAAAUGCAACAUCAGAACGUUCCCCCGGCAAAUUUACUCUGAAAGUUUGGGAAAGUAUGAAUUAGAAAUUGGAGAGGCAAAGAGAUAACCAGAAAACAAUGAAUUUAAAAGAGAAGAAUUGAAAUAAAAAGAAUAGAAAGAAGGCCCCAUGUAGUUCAAAUGUUAAAGAAGAAACAACAUAUGAAAUAGAAACUGAAGUAAACGACACUGCUUUAGUGCUUGUGACAUUCAGCAAAUUCCUUCUCAUAUUCUUUAUAAUAUAUAUAUAUAUAUAUAUAUAGAUCAAUGUGUAAAAUUUGAUUUUCAAACAAGACGUCUUUUAAGAAAUAGUGACAUCACUCAGGUAGCCGCUGUCAGUGGAUCAAACCUAUUCCAGAGAUGUAAUAUGCCAAGAUGUGACAUUUCAAAUGAAGCGAGCAAAAUAACUGGUAUUUUCUUUUCGUAAUGCUACUUAUAGUAAUAUGAUAUAUCUGAAUGGGAGCAACCUGUACUAUUCAAUAUGGAUCGAAGGAUUGACAAUUUUGACAGGGAACAAAAUGAACUCUAAUUAUGCUAUGACUAUCAAUCAGUAUUUGACUGAAUCAGAGGAGUAAACUAUAUACAUAUUUUUAAAUAUAACAGUCUAUAUCUUUGCUUAAUUAUUGAGGCAUUAAAAAUAAAGAAAGUUGAAAAACCUUUGAAAAAGUUAUAAUUUCAUCAUUUUUUGCUUAUGUUACUAUGACAACUGAA